RNAcentral lists this long non-coding RNA (1659 nucleotides) under Homo sapiens (human). Its description in RNAcentral is "PREDICTED lncRNA (TCONS_00120788)". Lineage: Eukaryota; Metazoa; Chordata; Mammalia; Primates; Hominidae. The record is from RNAcentral.
UAGAAAUUGAGAGUCUAGCAGUUAGUAGUGGGGAUAGAGUCACAUUAAUAAUCAGGUGCUACAGAAGAUGCAAGAGAACAGUGUCUUGAUUCCUGGUCUUCCUGUCAUUUUCUGCAUCUCAUUUAACCUUUGGAAAGCCUGAGUUUGGAGCUGUUCUGGGAUUUUUGUGAGAAUUCUCUUUCUUACUGACCCAAGUUCCUUAAUUUAAAUUUGAGGUAGCCCUCAAAUUUAAGGGGGUCCAAUUAAGCCUCAGAUCCUUGCUUCUCAAAGGCCGGAGGUUUUCAUUGUGCAAAUAGGAACAACUUGGAUAUCAGAUCAGAAUGGAGGCAAUUAAGUGAAGAAAGGUGUAAGAUUACUGUGCCAGUUUCUCGGUAAGUGGGACCUGUCCAUCUUCUUGUGGACGCAGAGGACACGUGCCAAGAGAGGGAAGAGCUAAGAGGAAUCAUGGUGAUUCUGAGCUACCCACUUUCCAACUCCUUUGAGUCCAGUGCCAGCCUUGGCAAAAACACUGUCUCCUGAACAAAUGCUGUUUAAAAAUCCAAAGGCAGCUGUGUGGGAGCAAAGUCCAGGGUGGCAGAGAGGGACAAUGGACCCCUGCUGGCUUCCUGCCCACUGUUUUGAUCAGCCAAAGCCUGGAUUCUCCAUCCCUUCUGUGUGCAGCCAGAUGAAAGCCAGUGUCGGCACGCAUCCUGUUUGUGACGAAGGGGUGUUUACUCACAGGAUGGCGCUGGGGAGAGCCUCGACCAUGCCUCCAGCAAAUGGCCAGAUCUGGAAUUGCUCAGCAGGGACAUGAUGGAUGAAUGUAACACUGCAUCUGCAAGGACUGCUCCUAAUGAGUCACUCAUCACUCAGCAUUGGGUCCCACUGAGGGACUAUGCUGUGUCCUUAAGUGUGUGUCAUUCACAGGUCUGGGGUCAAGGAGGGCUGAAAAGAGGAGGAUAAAAUGGAGGGAGAGGCAUGCAAGAGGGAAGAGGGCCCUGCCGUGUGGGACGGCUGAGUGGGCUCAGCUGAGGAGCAGAUUGGCUGGGCACUAGGUUGGCACUGCCGCUCGAUCACCCCCUGAUGGGGCAGUGGGCAGUGAGGCCAGGCUCAAGGCUUUUUGGGGUUUGAAUCCUUUCUGUGGGAGCUUUGCCGCAUCUCUCUGAUCUUCCACUGGCCCUCACCGGGAUCCUUAUCUGGGGUUCCUCACCUUGGCUGGGAGGCCUGACCGCGCUUCUGCUUGCUGUUUGGAACUUGGACAGGCUUUAUCCUAAGGGGAGGGUCCGUAUCCAGUCCCCGACCUUGGUAAAAUGAGAGCCUCAGGUUGCUCUCACAGACCCAGAAGCCAGGGAGACAAGGAGUUGAUUCUGUCGCUACUCUGCUAAACCAACAUCCCAGCCCAAGACGGGAAAAGCCUCUGAGGGUUCUGCCGGCUGUGCCUACCGUAGAGCAGUCAUGGUCUUGUCUGCGGGGCUGGCCAACCUCCCUACACGUGGCACAGAAAGCAGCAGGAAGCCCCUUCCCUCCCCAGGUCUGGGGCUGGGGUCGCUUCUCAUGGUCACCACCACUCCCUUCAUUAGGGAGCUUCCAAAAGGCUUUAUAACAUUUUCAUCCAACUCUAAAGCAUCAAAGAAGCCGUGUCUGUAAUCCCGCUAAUCAAUCAUAUGCAUUGUUUACAUU